Molecule: small RNA, 831 nt
Filed under: uncultured Curtobacterium sp.
Lineage: Bacteria; Bacillati; Actinomycetota; Actinomycetes; Micrococcales; Microbacteriaceae
Description: bacterial SSU rRNA
Rfam family: Bacterial small subunit ribosomal RNA (bases 1-472)
Source: RNAcentral
GUCGUGAGAUGUUGGGUUAAGUCCCGCAACGAGCGCAACCCUCGUCCAAUGUUGCCAGCGGGUAAUGCCGGGGACUCAUUGGAGACUGCCGGGGUCAGCUCGGAGGAAGGUGGGGAUGACGUCAAGUCAUCAUGCCCCUUAUGUCUUGGGCUGCAAACAUGCUACAAUGGCCGGUACAAAGGGCUGCGAACCUGCGAGGGUAAGCGAAUCCCGGAAAGCCGGUCUCAGUUCGGAUCGGGGUCUGCAACUCGGCCCCGUGAAGCCGGAGUCGCUAGUAAUCGCGGAUCAGCAACGCCGCGGUGAAUACGUUCCCGGGCCUUGUACACACCGCCCGUCACACCACGAAAGUGGGUAACACCCGAAGCCGGUGGCCUAACCCUUGUGGAAGGAGCCGUCGAAGGUGGGAUCCGCGAUUGGGGUGAAGUCGUAACAAGGUAGCCGUACCGGAAGGUGCGGCUGGAUCACCUCCUUUCUAAGGAGCCUUUGGCGAUCCGGUGAGUCUCGCCGAAUGCGCGAGAUCUCUGCAGUACCGGUGGCUUCAGGUCGGUGCACUGGCUAUUCUUUUGACACCCAUUCCCGACGGCGUCUAGUAGUCCCUCUCGAGGGGCGAACGGGCCGGCCGACGGAUGGGCUUCGUCAUGAGGACACACUGUUCAGCUUUGAGGGUGCGAGCCCUCGUUGGACCUUGAGAACUCGAUAGCGAGCGCGAGCAUCUACAGUCAAGUUACAAAGGGCUUACGGUGGAUGCCUUGGCGCCAGGAGCCGAUGAAGGACGCGUCAGGCUGCGAUAAGCCUCGGGGAGCUGCCGAGAGAGCUGAGAUCCGAGGAUGU